GACUUAAAAUCCGUCGAUUUUUUAAAUCAUGAG
RNAcentral lists this transfer RNA (33 nucleotides) under Isolepis producta. RNAcentral's name for it is "partial tRNA-Leu". Lineage: Eukaryota; Viridiplantae; Streptophyta; Magnoliopsida; Poales; Cyperaceae. RNAcentral also lists the same sequence under 1 other name. The record is from RNAcentral.